CAAAGGUAGCAUAAUCAUUAGAGGUUUAAUUGGAAUCUGGUAUGAAUGGUUGGACAAAAGAAGAACUGUCUUUGUAAUAUAGUUUGAAAUUUACAUUUAAGUGAAAAGGCUUAAAUAAGUCAAGGGGACGAUAAGACCCUAUAAAGCUUUAUAAAUAAUUUAAAUUUAAUUAAAUUAAGUAAUAAAAGUUAAAUUUAAUUAUUUUAUUUCGUUGGGGUGAUGUGAGUAUAAUUAUAGUUAACUGCUUAGAAAGAAUUCUGUAAUAAAAGAGUUAAUAGUUAUAUGAUCCUUUGUAAAGAUUAAAAGACCAAGUUACUUUAGGGGUAACAGCGUUAUUUCUUUAGAGAGUUCAUAUCGAAAAAGAAGAUUGCGACCUCGAUGUUGAAUUAAAAUAUCUAUAUAAUGCAGCUGUUAUAAAAGAGGGUCUGUUCGACCUUUAAAUUUUUACAUGAUUUGAGUUC
Molecule: ribosomal RNA, 461 nt
Filed under: Macromedaeus crassimanus
Lineage: Eukaryota; Metazoa; Arthropoda; Malacostraca; Decapoda; Xanthidae
Description: partial 16S ribosomal RNA
Rfam family: Bacterial large subunit ribosomal RNA (bases 323-461)
Source: RNAcentral